This 124-nucleotide small RNA is filed under the name Marmota monax (woodchuck). The record is from RNAcentral. Lineage: Eukaryota; Metazoa; Chordata; Mammalia; Rodentia; Sciuridae.
GCCGGUUGCAGUGGUGCACACCUGUAAUCCCAGUGCUCAGGAGGCUGAGGCAGGAGGAUCGUAAGUUCAAAGCCAACCUCAGCAAUGACAAAGUGCUAAGCAACUCCACGAGAGCCUGUCUCUA